GGGUUGUGAGGUUAAGCGACUAAGCGUACACGGUGGAUGCCCUGGCAGUCAGAGGCGAUGAAGGACGUGCUAAUCUGCGAUAAGCGUCGGUAAGGUGAUAUGAACCGUUAUAACCGGCGAUUUCCGAAUGGGGAAACCCAGUGUGUUUCGACACACUAUCAUUAACUGAAUCCAUAGGUUAAUGAGGCGAACCGGGGGAACUGAAACAUCUAAGUACCCCGAGGAAAAGAAAUCAACCGAGAUUCCCCCAGUAGCGGCGAGCGAACGGGGAGGAGCCCAGAGCCUGAAUCAGUGUGUGUGUUAGUGGAAGCGUCUGGAAAGGCGCGCGAUACAGGGUGACAGCCCCGUACACAAAAAUACACAUAUUGUGAGCUCGAUGAGUAGGGCGGGACACG
RNAcentral lists this ribosomal RNA (395 nucleotides) under Shigella sonnei. Its description in RNAcentral is "bacterial LSU rRNA". It matches the Rfam family "Bacterial large subunit ribosomal RNA", at positions 1 to 426 of the family's 2925-position model. Lineage: Bacteria; Pseudomonadati; Pseudomonadota; Gammaproteobacteria; Enterobacterales; Enterobacteriaceae. The record is from RNAcentral.